RNAcentral lists this ribosomal RNA (359 nucleotides) under Myrmekiaphila tigris. RNAcentral's name for it is "partial 12S ribosomal RNA". The record is from RNAcentral. Lineage: Eukaryota; Metazoa; Arthropoda; Arachnida; Araneae; Euctenizidae.
AACUUUUUUUUAUUUUCUAUACCGCCGUCUCAAGAUAAAACCCUAAAUUUUUAUCCUAAGCUUUUUUGAUAAGUCAGGUCAAGGUGGAGAUUAUAAGAAAGUUUAGAUUAAUUAUUCAUAAAUGUUAUUUAAAGCUAGUCUUCCAAAGAUAACUAAAAUAAAGAUUUGAAAGUAGUCUUUAAUUAAAAGUUAAGAACGAACUUGUUACAGGUGUACAUAUCGCCCGUCACCCUCGUCUAAAGAUGAGGUAAGUCGUAACAUAGUUAGUGUACUGGAAAGUGCACUAAGGGGAAUUAAAAGCUUUAGCGUUUCAUUUACACAGAAAAGAGUGGUCAUUCAAUUUCCAUAAACUUUAUUUG